Molecule: transfer RNA, 69 nt
Filed under: Myrmecophaga tridactyla (giant anteater)
Lineage: Eukaryota; Metazoa; Chordata; Mammalia; Pilosa; Myrmecophagidae
Description: tRNA-Cys
Source: RNAcentral
GGUCUCGUGGUGAAUGUAUUUCAUGUUGAAUUGCAAAUUCAGAGUAGUAGAUUAGUUCUGCCGAGGCUU